CCUACGGGAGGCAGCAGUGGGGAAUCUUGCGCAAUGGGCGAAAGCCUGACGCAGCCAUGCCGCGUGUAUGAUGAAGGUCUUAGGAUUGUAAAAUACUUUCACCGGUGAAGAUAAUGACUGUAGCCGGAGAAGAAGCCCCGGCUAACUUCGUGCCAGCAGCCGCGGUAAUACGAAGGGGGCUAGCGUUGCUCGGAAUUACUGGGCGUAAAGGGAGCGUAGGCGGACAUUUAAGUCAGAGGUGAAAUCCCGGAGCUUAACUUCGGAACUGCCUUUGAUACUGGGUGUCUUGAGUGUGAGAGAGGUAUGUGGAACUCCGAGUGUAGAGGUGAAAUUCGUAGAUAUUCGGAAGAACACCAGUGGCGAAGGCGACAUACUGGCUCAUUACUGACGCUGAGGCUCGAAAGCGUGGGGAGCAAACAGGAUUAGAUACCCUGGUAGUCCACGCCGUAAACGAUGAUUGCUAGUUGUCGGGAAGCUUGCUUCUCGGUGACGCAGCUAACGCAUUAAGCAAUCCGCCUGGGGAGUACGGUCGCAAGAUUAAAACUUAAAUGAAUUGACGG
Molecule: ribosomal RNA, 560 nt
Filed under: uncultured bacterium
Lineage: Bacteria
Description: bacterial SSU rRNA
Rfam family: Bacterial small subunit ribosomal RNA
Source: RNAcentral